GGAAGAAGCUUGCUUCUUUGCUGACGAGUGGCGGACGGGUGAGUAAUGUCUGGGAAACUGCCUGAUGGAGGGGGAUAACUACUGGAAACGGUAGCUAAUACCGCAUAACGUCGCAAGACCAAAAAGGGGGACCUUCGGGCCUCUUGCCAUCGGAUGUGCCCAGAUGGGAUUAGCUAGUAGGUGGGGUAACGGCUCACCUAGGCGACGAUCCCUAGCUGGUCUGAGAGGAUGACCAGCCACACUGGAACUGAGACACGGUCCAGACUCCUACGGGAGGCAGCAGUGGGGAAUAUUGCACAAUGGGCGCAAGCCUGAUGCAGCCAUGCCGCGUGUAUGAAGAAGGCCUUCGGGUUGUAAAGUACUUUCAGCGGGGAGGAAGGGAGUAAAGUUAAUACCUUUGCUCAUUGACGUUACCCGCAGAAGAAGCACCGGCUAACUCCGUGCCAGCAGCCGCGGUAAUACGGAGGGUGCAAGCGUUAAUCGGAAUUACUGGGCGUAAAGCGCACGCAGGCGGUUUGUUAAGUCAGAUGUGAAUCCCCGGGCUCAACCUGGGAACUGCAUCUGAUACUGGCAAGCUUGAGUCUCGUAGAGGGGGUAGAUUCCAGGUGUAGCGGUGAAAUGCGUAGAGAUCUGGAGGAAUACCGGUGGCGAAGGCGGCCCCCUGGACGAAGACUGACGCU
RNAcentral lists this ribosomal RNA (680 nucleotides) under uncultured Pseudomonadota bacterium. RNAcentral's name for it is "bacterial SSU rRNA". It matches the Rfam family "Bacterial small subunit ribosomal RNA", at positions 71 to 747 of the family's 1533-position model. Lineage: Bacteria; Pseudomonadati; Pseudomonadota. The record is from RNAcentral.